ACAGACAGCCAGGAUGUUGGCUUAGAAGCAGCCAUCAUUUAAAGAAAGCGUAAUAGCUCACUGGUCGAGUCGGCCUGCGCGGAAGAUGUAACGGGGCUAAACCAUGCACCGAAGCUGCGGCAGCGACGCUUAGGCGUUGUUGGGUAGGGGAGCGUUCUGUAAGCCUGCGAAGGUGGCCUGUGAGGGCUGCUGGAGGUAUCAGAAGUGCGAAUGCUGACAUAAGUAACGAUAAAGCGGGUGAAAAGCCCGCUCGCCGGAAGAC
RNAcentral lists this ribosomal RNA (262 nucleotides) under Klebsiella variicola subsp. variicola. Its description in RNAcentral is "partial 23S ribosomal RNA". It matches the Rfam family "Bacterial large subunit ribosomal RNA", at positions 1085 to 1345 of the family's 2925-position model. Lineage: Bacteria; Pseudomonadati; Pseudomonadota; Gammaproteobacteria; Enterobacterales; Enterobacteriaceae. The record is from RNAcentral.